GGCGAGUGAAGCGGCAAAAGCUCAAAUUUGAAAUCUGGCGUCUUCGACGUCCGAGUUGUAAUUUGAAGAAGGCAACUUUGUAGCUGGUCCUUGUCUAUGUUCCUUGGAACAGGACGUCAUAGAGGGUGAGAAUCCCGUGUGGCGAGGAUCCCAGUUAUUUGUAAAGUGCUUUCGACGAGUCGAGUUGUUUGGGAAUGCAGCUCUAAGUGGGUGGUAAAUUCCAUCUAAAGCUAAAUAUUGGCGAGAGACCGAUAGCGAACAAGUACAGUGAUGGAAAGAUGAAAAGAACUUUGAAAAGAGAGUGAAAAAGUACGUGAAAUUGUUGAAAGGGAAGGGCAUUUGAUCAGACAUGGCGUUUGCUUCGGCUUUCGCUGGGCCAGCAUCAGUUUUAGCGGUUGGAUAAAUCCUCGGGAAUGUGGCUCUGCUUCGGUAGAGUGUUAUAGCCCGUGGGAAUACAGCCAGCUGGGACUGAGGAUUGCGACUUUUGUCAAGGAUGCUGGCGUAAUGGUUAAAUGCCGCCCGU
This 523-nucleotide ribosomal RNA is filed under the name Kluyveromyces lactis. RNAcentral describes it as "partial large subunit ribosomal RNA". It matches the Rfam family "Eukaryotic large subunit ribosomal RNA", at positions 88 to 652 of the family's 3401-position model. Lineage: Eukaryota; Fungi; Ascomycota; Saccharomycetes; Saccharomycetales; Saccharomycetaceae. The record is from RNAcentral.